UGUGUCACUUCCGGCCUCCCUUUAGCUGCCAUCUUGCGUCCCCGCGUGUGUGCGCCUAAUCUCAGGUGGUCCACCCGAGACCCCUUGAGCACCAACCCUAGUCCCCCGCGCGGCCCCUUAUUCGCUCCGACAAGGUACAAAAAGGCUCUGGACGGCGGCGUGGUAGGAGGACGGGAGCGGGGGCGGGAAGUUCCCUGAAGGAGCGAGACAGGGAGGGACAGGGCAGAGGAGGAGAGGAAGGCGAUGCGACGGACAGGCGCACCCGCUCAGGCUGACUCUCGGGGGCGAGGUCGAGCCAGGGGCGGCUGCCCUGGGGGCGAGGCGACGCUGUCUCAACCUCCACCUCGCGGCGGAACCCGAGGACAGGAGCCUCAGAUCUUGUGGAGAAUUUUGAUGAGGCUUCCAAGAAUGAGGCAAACUGAAUUGAGUCAACUUCUGAAGAUAAAACCUGAAGAAGUUACUGGGAGCUGCUAUUUUAUAUUAUGACUGCUUUUUAAGAAAUUUUUGUUUAUGGAUCUGAUAAAAUCUAGAUCUCUAAUAUUUUUAAGCCCAAGCCCCUUGGACACUGCAGCUCUUUUCAGUUUUUGCUUAUACACAAUUCAUUCUUUGCAGCUAAUUAAGCCGAAGAAGCCUGGGAAUCAAGUUUGAAACAAAGAUUAAUAAAGUUCUUUGCCUAGUAUACAGUUUUAUUUUUUUAUUUCAUUGACACCGAUCUGUACACAGUAAAAAAAAUUGCUUAUAGAAAGCUAAUCAUGGCAUGUAAUAUGGCUGAUAACCUUUGGAAUUUGAUUAAAGAUUUAAAAUCAC
This 807-nucleotide long non-coding RNA is filed under the name Homo sapiens (human). RNAcentral describes it as "HSALNT0089593". Lineage: Eukaryota; Metazoa; Chordata; Mammalia; Primates; Hominidae. The record is from RNAcentral.